Molecule: ribosomal RNA, 497 nt
Filed under: uncultured bacterium
Lineage: Bacteria
Description: partial 16S ribosomal RNA
Rfam family: Bacterial small subunit ribosomal RNA
Source: RNAcentral
GAUGAACGCUGGCGGCGUGCCUAAUACAUGCAAGUCGAGCGAACAGACGAGGAGCUUGCUCCUCUGAUGUUAGCGGCGGACGGGUGAGUAACACGUGGAUAACCUACCUAUAAGACUGGGAUAACUUCGGGAAACCGGAGCUAAUACCGGAUAACAUGUUGAACCGCAUGGUUCAACAGUGAAAGACGGUCUUGCUGUCACUUAUAGAUGGAUCCGCGCCGCAUUAGCUAGUUGGUAAGGUAACGGCUUACCAAGGCAACGAUGCGUAGCCGACCUGAGAGGGUGAUAGGCCGCACUGGAACUGAGACACGGUCCAGACUCCUACGGGAGGGAGCAGAAGGGAAUCUUCCGCAAUGGGCGAAAGCCUGACGGAGCAACGCGGCGUGAGUGAAGACGGUCUUCGGAUCGUAAAACUCUGUUAUUAGGGAAGAACAAAUGUGUAAGUAACUAUGCACGUCUUGACGGUAACUAAUCAGAAAGCCACGGCUAACUACGUG